RNAcentral lists this ribosomal RNA (447 nucleotides) under uncultured bacterium. RNAcentral's name for it is "bacterial SSU rRNA". It matches the Rfam family "Bacterial small subunit ribosomal RNA", at positions 355 to 825 of the family's 1533-position model. The record is from RNAcentral.
UGGGGAAUCUUGGACAAUGGGCGCAAGCCUGAUCCAGCCAUGCCGCGUGAGUGAUGAAGGCCUUAGGGUUGUAAAGCUCUUUUGGCGGGGACGAUAAUGACGGUACCCGGAGAAUAAGUCCCGGCUAACUUCGUGCCAGCAGCCGCGGUAAUACGAAGGGGACUAGCGUUGUUCGGAAUCACUGGGCGUAAAGCGCACGUAGGCGGAUUUGUAAGUCAGGGGUGAAAUCCCGGGGCUCAACCUCGGAACUGCCUUUGAUACUGCGGAUCUCGAGUCCGAUAGAGGUGAGUGGAAUUCCGAGUGUAGAGGUGAAAUUCGUAGAUAUUAGGAAGAACACCAGUGGCGAAGGCGGCCAACUGGCUCGAUACUGACGCUGAGGUGCGAAAGCGUGGGGAGCAAACAGGAUUAGAUACCCCAGUAGUCCCUGAGCGGGCUGGCAAGGCGCAU